AGUCUGCUAUUGAUAAGAUAACCGUUAGAACCGUCGAUGUAAAAAAAAAGCAUGAAUAAAACUGUCUUAUGCACGGUGUGAUGUUUUUGUGCGUUGUGGUAGAAAUGUCAAACGGUUUAUGCUCUGUUUGUGAUGUUUUUGCUCCUUCCUGGACAGAAGAAAGUGUUUCGUGUGUUGGAUAGUGAUUUUACAACAUGCAAAUGUGAUUUCCACUUGGUCAGCAACCUUAUCGAGAAAUCAUGAUGGAAUCGACCAUCCAAACUACACCACGGACCACUGCUAUCGGUGGAUAAGAGUGACAUCACAAAUACGCCUGCUAUCGCGAUCGUGCGACAUCUCCGAUCAGUACGACACCUCCAACCGGUUGCGGUCUUGGCCUGCCAUUUGUGGCUUUCUGUGACUUGGAUUACCGCUGGCAAUGUAGUCAGCUCUGUGUACGAGGAGGCGGUCCCGGAUGGCAUUUGAACUCCGAUCCUGCCGUGUGAAGACUGGCUUCGAGGUCGCCUCGGCCACCCCAACUCUAUCGGACACAACAUUCACAGGUUUGUGGGGCAUCAUUAGCUGAUCACCGAUAGGUAGCUGCUAAAAACUUUAAAUUUUACGGUACUGUUAAUAUUCGUUUAUUUGUACCACACGAUACAAUAAGGUUCAAGGAGAAGAAAAUGAGGUGCUUCUUAAUAUAGAUUACAUAAAAGCAUUGGCGGUGGUUCCGGUGGUAGAUGUGACAACAGGAUUCAAAUCCCAUCUGGGCCAUUCGCCCAUAGUGAAGACUAUCCAACAAUGAGGAAUCAACAAGUCUAGUGAGCCAGAAAUAGCAGGCAUAACCUAAGAGUUCGUUAAGCCAAGAGAAAGAAGCAACGAGUUUCUCACACCAAAAGUAAUUGAUAAAAAAAAAUCUUAAAUAGUUGUUUCCACACCCGUAUGCGUGAUAUAAGUUUUAAAUGGAAAACACACUAGUUUGAGAAUAUAGUAAGGCAGCAUCAGACAACUAAUAGCAAAGUUUUAUUUAUUUAUUUAUAAUUUUAGUAAGACGGCUUGACGCCGUAUCGUCAAAUAAUAGCAAAGUUUUUACCUAUUCAAAAAUGUUAAUGCAAUCUGCGCACAAUAUUUUCUUUAAACUUUUUUGUUGUUGUAAAAACUUGUUGGUUGGGGCGGUCCGGUGGUCGAGGCGACAUCGACGCCGGUCCUCACAUGGUAGGACCGGAGUUCAAAUUCCAACCGAGACCGCCUCCCCGUACACACGGCCGGCUAGUUUGCUACGGAUAGAAUCAAGUCACAGAAAGCCAGAAAUGGCAGACCGAAACCUUUCAAGGUUGUAGUGCCAAGCAAGCAGAAGAUGGGUUUAAGUUUGACGUAAUCGAGGGUAAAGCGUCAACCAGCGGUUCGGCAUGAUACACUAACUAAAAAAAAAGCCAACACACUAUCACAUCGAUUUGUUAUACCUAUUUUAAAACGUUUAUUAACAGUAACUUUGUGAUACGCUUGUUUCUUGUGUUUUAUAUCUCUCGAUAUACCAAGCUACCAGAAAACGAUAGUAAGCGACACGCAGCUUAACUUAAAUUUUCCAACCCCGCCCUUGGAUUCAUUUGACCGUAAACGACACAAAACACGAUUGCCUUCGAACGAAUCAGCGCAUGAGGUCAGUUAGUAAAAACGUACAACAUGAAACAACAACCUGUUGCGGCGGACACAUUACGUAGAUGAGCUUGCAGGAAAAAAA
Molecule: long non-coding RNA, 1720 nt
Organism: Anopheles stephensi (Asian malaria mosquito)
Lineage: Eukaryota; Metazoa; Arthropoda; Insecta; Diptera; Culicidae
Exons: 2
Source: RefSeq, a predicted model, not a curated record